CCCAUGGUGGGAGGAAGUGGGGAAGAGGGGACAAUGGGCGAAAGCCUGAUCCAGCCAUGCCGCGUGUGUGAAGAAGGCCUUCGGGUUGUAAAGCACUUUCAGUGGGGAAGAAAGCCUUGGGGCUAAUACCCUCGAGGAAGGACAUCACCCACAGAAGAAGCACCGGCUAACUCCGUGCCAGCAGCCGCGGUAAUACGGAGGGUGCGAGCGUUAAUCGGAAUUACUGGGCGUAAAGCGCGCGUAGGCGGUCUGAUAAGCCGGUUGUGAAAGCCCCGGGCUCAACCUGGGAACGGCAUCCGGAACUGUCAGGCUAGAGUGCAGGAGAGGAAGGUAGAAUUCCCGGUGUAGCGGUGAAAUGCGUAGAGAUCGGGAGGAAUACCAGUGGCGAAGGCGGCCUUCUGGACUGACACUGACGCUGAGGUGCGAAAGCGUGGGUAGCAAACAGGAUUAGAUACCCGAGUAGUC
This 465-nucleotide ribosomal RNA is filed under the name Vreelandella stevensii. Its description in RNAcentral is "partial 16S ribosomal RNA". It matches the Rfam family "Bacterial small subunit ribosomal RNA", at positions 338 to 795 of the family's 1533-position model. Lineage: Bacteria; Pseudomonadati; Pseudomonadota; Gammaproteobacteria; Oceanospirillales; Halomonadaceae. The record is from RNAcentral.